RNAcentral lists this ribosomal RNA (253 nucleotides) under uncultured bacterium. RNAcentral's name for it is "partial 16S ribosomal RNA". It matches the Rfam family "Bacterial small subunit ribosomal RNA", at positions 524 to 776 of the family's 1533-position model. The record is from RNAcentral.
UACAGAGGGUGCGAGCGUUAAUCGGAAUUACUGGGCGUAAAGCGCGCGUAGGCGGCUUUUCAAGUCGAUUGUGAAAUCCCCGGGCUUAACCUGGGAACUGCAGUCGAGACUGUCUAGCUAGAGUAUGGGAGAGGGAAGUGGAAUUUCAGGUGUAGCGGUGAAAUGCGUAGAUAUCUGAAGGAACAUCAGUGGCGAAAGCGACUUCCUGGACCAAUACUGACGCUCAGGCGCGACAGCGUGGGGAGCAAACAGG